Molecule: ribosomal RNA, 141 nt
Filed under: uncultured eukaryote
Lineage: Eukaryota
Description: partial 18S ribosomal RNA
Rfam family: Eukaryotic small subunit ribosomal RNA
Source: RNAcentral
UGGUGGAGUGAUUUGUCUGGUUAAUUCCGUUAACGAACGAGACCCCUACCUAUUAAAUAGUGCGUGGAGUGUUUUUCACUGCAUGGCGCUUCUUAAAGGGACGUGCGUUUUACUAAACGCAGGAAGAUAGGGGCAAUAACA